This is a non-coding RNA of Myotis lucifugus (little brown bat), 75 nucleotides long. NCBI's taxonomy places the organism in Eukaryota, Metazoa, Chordata, Mammalia, Chiroptera, Vespertilionidae. The record is from Rfam.
GACGGUUCUUAAGUGACACACCCCGGAAUCAGGCUCCCUCCUCUCUGGUUCCCGGUGCGUUGCCCUAGAACCGCA